GACGAACCGUCCAAACGUUAUUCGGAAUCACUGGGCUUACAGAGUUCGUAGGCGGUCUGGAAAGUUGGGUGUGAAAUCCCUCGGCCUAACCGAGGAACUGCGCUUGAAACUACCAGACUCGAGGGGGAUAGAGGAAAGCGGAACUGAUGGUGGAGCGGUGAAAUGCGUUGAUAUCAUCAGGAACACCGGUGGCGAAGGCGGCUUUCUGGGUCUUACCUGACGCUGAGGCACGAAGGCCAGGGGAGCAAACGGG
RNAcentral lists this ribosomal RNA (253 nucleotides) under uncultured bacterium. RNAcentral describes it as "partial 16S ribosomal RNA". It matches the Rfam family "Bacterial small subunit ribosomal RNA", at positions 524 to 776 of the family's 1533-position model. The record is from RNAcentral.